Molecule: ribosomal RNA, 582 nt
Filed under: uncultured bacterium
Lineage: Bacteria
Description: bacterial SSU rRNA
Rfam family: Bacterial small subunit ribosomal RNA
Source: RNAcentral
GAGUUUGAUUAUGGCUCAGAGUGAACGCUGGCGGCAGGCCUAACACAUGCAAGUCGAACGGUAGCACAGAGGAGCUUGCUCCUUGGGUGACGAGUGGCGGACGGGUGAGGAAUAUAUCGGAAUCUACCCAAUCGUGGGGGAUAACGUAGGGAAACUUACGCUAAUACCGCAUACGAUCUGAGGAUGAAAGCGGCGGACCGCAAGGCGUCGCGCGAUUGGAUGAGCCGAUAUCCGAUUAGCUAGUUGGUAAGGUAAAAGCUUACCAAGGCGACGAUCGGUAGCUGGUCUGAGAGGAUGAUCAGCCACACUGGAACUGAGACACGGUCCAGACUCCUACGGGAGGCAGCAGUGGGGAAUAUUGGACAAUGGGCGCAAGCCUGAUCCAGCCAUGCCGCGUGUGUGAAGAAGGCCUUCGGGUUGUAAAGCACUUUUGUUGGGAAAGAAAAGCGGCCGGUUAAUACCCGGUUGUUCUGACGGUACCCAAAGAAUAAGCACCGGCUAACUUCGUGCCAGCAGCCGCGGUAAUACGAAGGGUGCAAGCGUUACUCGGAAUUACUGGGCGUAAAGCGUGCGUAGGUGGUU